AUUGAACGCUGGCGGCAUGCUUUACACAUGCAAGUCGAACGGCAGCGCGGGCUUCGGCCUGGCGGCGAGUGGCGAACGGGUGAGUAAUACAUCGGAACGUGCCCAGUAGUGGGGGAUAGCUCGGCGAAAGCCGGAUUAAUACCGCAUACGGCCUGAGGGUGAAAGCGGGGGAUCUUCGGACCUCGCGCUAUUGGAGCGGCCGAUGGCAGAUUAGCUAGUUGGUGGGGUAAAGGCCUACCAAGGCGACGAUCUGUAGCUGGUCUGAGAGGACGACCAGCCACACUGGGACUGAGACACGGCCCAGACUCCUACGGGAGGCAGCAGUGGGGAAUUUUGGACAAUGGGCGAAAGCCUGAUCCAGCAAUGCCGCGUGUGUGAUGAAGGCCUUCGGGUUGUAAAGCACUUUUGGCGGGAACGAAAAGGACUGUGCCAAUACCACGGUUCGAUGACGGUACCCGCAGAAUAAGCACCGGCUAACUACGU
RNAcentral lists this ribosomal RNA (483 nucleotides) under uncultured bacterium. RNAcentral describes it as "partial 16S ribosomal RNA". It matches the Rfam family "Bacterial small subunit ribosomal RNA", at positions 29 to 506 of the family's 1533-position model. The record is from RNAcentral.